This 284-nucleotide ribosomal RNA is filed under the name uncultured fungus. RNAcentral's name for it is "partial 18S ribosomal RNA". It matches the Rfam family "Eukaryotic small subunit ribosomal RNA", at positions 932 to 1214 of the family's 1831-position model. Lineage: Eukaryota; Fungi. The record is from RNAcentral.
AAGACUAACUACUGCGAAAGCAUUUGCCAAGGAUGUUUUCAUUAAUCAGUGAACGAAAGUUAGGGGAUCGAAGACGAUCAGAUACCGUCGUAGUCUUAACCAUAAACUAUGCCGACUAGGGAUCGGGCGAUGUUAUCUUUUUGACUCGCUCGGCACCUUACGAGAAAUCAAAGUUUUUGGGUUCUGGGGGGGGUAUGGUCGCAAGGCUGAAACUUAAAGAAAUUGACGGAAGGGCACCACCAGGAGUGGAGCCUGCGGCUUAAUUUGACUCAACACGGGGAAAC